GGGGAAUAUUGCGCAAUGGGGGGAACCCUGACGCAGCAACGCCGCGUGAAGGAAGAAGGCCUUCGGGUUGUAAACUUCUUUGAUGAGGGACGAAACAAAUGACGGUACCUCAAGAACAAGCCACGGCUAACUACGUGCCAGCAGCCGCGGUAAUACGUAGGUGGCGAGCGUUGUCCGGAAUUACUGGGUGUAAAGGGCGUGUAGGCGGGAGUGUAAGUCAGAUGUGAAAUACCAUGGCUCAACUGUGGGGCUGCAUCUGAAACUACAUUUCUUGAGUGCUGGAGAGGAAAGCGGAAUUCCCAGUGUAGCGGUGAAAUGCGUAGAUAUUGGGAGGAACACCAGUGGCGAAGGCGGCUUUCUGGACAGUAACUGACGCUGAGGCGCGAAAGCGUGGGGAGCAAAC
Molecule: ribosomal RNA, 403 nt
Filed under: uncultured bacterium
Lineage: Bacteria
Description: bacterial SSU rRNA
Rfam family: Bacterial small subunit ribosomal RNA
Source: RNAcentral